UUUUUCGAGUCCUGUUCUUUUCUUUUGCGUGAUUUUCAUCGUUUUAUUGAAAGUUUCAAGUGUGCAUCUGUCUUCCUGCACAUCCAGCAACAUCCACGAUGGUUCGUAAAGUAGCGCCAAGAAAAAGAAAAAACUUCCAAAGCGAGAAAAAUACUCCGCAGCGCAAGGUGCUUAAACUUCAACAUGACGAAGCAGAAAACCCUUAAAACAAGAUACUGAUAUUGACUAUGUCAUCUCCGAAGUUGAUGAACAAGAUAACAAUAAGAAGAGUACCUGGCAUUUUAACGAUGAGUCUGCAGUAGACGUAAACAUGCCGAUCACACAAAUUAACACAGACAAAAAUCAAAAGCCUAUAAUUGGUAAAGUAGUCUCGCUUACCAGUCUUGCUUCCUAUAAAAGCCCCCAGAAAAAUGGACUAAUAAUUAAGUCCAUCCUUCAAGAUAUGUCUGGCCAAAUGGGCCUGUUGCAAACUUUUGCUAGAGCAAAAUUAAGAGUUGUUUCUUACAGAUAAUGCCUCCAAAAUCACGAUAAGCGCAU
This is a non-coding RNA of Bemisia tabaci, 537 nucleotides long. NCBI's taxonomy places the organism in Eukaryota, Metazoa, Arthropoda, Insecta, Hemiptera, Aleyrodidae. The record is from RefSeq and is a predicted model, not a curated record.